GACCUCAUCUCACCGUGGGGCAACGUGUACGGGUGGCGACGUACGUGAGCACCACUGCGAUCUAAGGCUGCUUGGCGGCUCUAUCUAUCCAAGAGCCCUGGCGCGCAGCCACAGCAGGCUGCCGGGCCCGGGUGCUGAUUUUGUCCCAUAUCCAAGCGAUCCAGAUGGAAUGUAUGCUCGGAGGGCGUGCAUAAAAUAAAGGAACAUUACCAAUGUGGGAAAGGUUGGCUUGUGUGUGCGACGGCGCUUCUGGUUUCAUAACCAUGUGUCUUGGCCUUUUACGGGUGGCCCUGCGAGCCUAGUGGUACGAAUGAGUACGACUGUUACAUCAUGUGGGUCGAAUAUAUGCUGGGGAAGCGCUGUCUUGUCCGACAAGGACGCGCCUUGGUUUUCCUACCCCACCUUCCCCGGGCGGUCAUGUACUGAGUUCCACAUCCGUGGAAGUGGGUCGCACUGGGCAAAUUAGGAGCACGGGGCGGCCGCGGUACGGGGUUGACUUGCAUGGCUAACAGCUCUGGUGCUCAGGAUCUGUGUGCCUCCUGUUGUGGUGUACCGCGAGAGCUUCCCUAGCCGUCUUGGGGGGUUAGAGGUGCCUGGGUGAGCUGCAGGAGGCCGCACUACAGUUUUCGAACGAGUGAGAUCCGGGUCUUCGUCUGCCGCUUGUGGCCUUAAAGAUGGACGGUGUGGCUAAUACGAGUGCAUAACUUGGUGAAAGUGGGAGUGGCGGGAGGCACCAAUAUGGUGCGGUGGUGGGUUCAGGGCAAAAGGCAUUGUGGACACACAGGGUCCGACAGAUGCCUCCAGCGAUCAUGUGGGGGUCGACUACACGGAUAGGAGCGAGGACGAUGGCCGAAGAAUGCGGGGUUACUGUUUCAGUGCUUUUUCUGUGCGCGGACGAUUAUCGUUCGGUGAUGGGGAGCGGGAGCGAGCAGAAGAUCGGACAUAUCCUGGACGCAGGGGGAUUGCAGAAGGCGCCAAAGGGGGGCGCCUCGGAACGGGGGGCCAGUCGCCCAAUCACGGCAUCCUGGGACCGGCUGUGGUUUUGUACAGAUGUCGAGAAGCUGGGGGGUUUCCUGGGCCCAAUGGGUGUCCCGAAGAGAAAGCUGAGAGUUGCAUGCACAUGAUUUGCUUCUCGGGGGUUUUUCCUCAGGGUUUACGACAGGACCACUCCGGUCCGAUGGAAUUUAGCACAUGGAGGUUUGGAUCAUGGCCCCAAAAAUGAUUCACCUCUGUACAGUGCAUGAAAUUGUACGGCUAGACGUGUGACUAAACCGAAGCCAUUUUCGCUACAUAGACGGCCAAGACAGCCCUAGUGUCUGAAAACUACAUAAGGUCUCUAAUUCGACACAACACGCACUCCAGGUUGGCAAGGCCAUCAGUUUGCGUUUCAAUCCGGAACGAGCUGUGCAACGUGAAAGUGACAAAUCCUGGGGUGACAGCUAAACCAAAACCCGGCACGGACUUGCAGGUCCGCACGCAUGGUGCCAAAUUAUCUUCAUGAACACUGCUGAAUGGGGAAAGUGAUGUCCCAGCGUACAUGCCGCCCAAGGCAAUGGCAUCCACACCGAGGCCACCGGUACGCGGCGUGCUUAUCCCCCACACAAACGAAUUGAUAUCAAAUCGACACGCCCUGUCUUGACAUUCCCGACGGCUUGCAUGCGGGAACGUCGUGCACGCGUACUGCGCAACCACGCGGCAUAGGCUAUACACUCACUCACAAACUCAUGUGCACAAUCACGCACUGUACAGCAUUGCGGGCAGCUGGGGUAUCUUCGGUUAGUGGCUGGUGCAUGGCGAGCGAUGAUGCAAGGCUUACUCCCCUUCCGUGACCUUCAUCGCAGACGACGCCCAUUGCAGUUCAUGUCGUUGCUUGGGGCUUUCCACGUCAUGGUACGGAGCUGCGGGUCUUGGAGGGGGCCUCUAUCUGCUGGUUCAUGGUUGGCUUGCGGCGGGAAGCACCGGUGAUCCGGUCGGAUUUAGUACAACGUUAAUCAGUCAACUUGAAUUGAGGCAACCACAUGCAGCCUUGACAAUUCUACCUACCGCCCUGGUGAGAUUUGGUCCGGGCAUUUGCGUGUGCGUGUGGGCGACUUAUAAAGAUCUGGAAAAGAUCGUUUAUGUAAGAUCCCGAACGUCCCUUGCUUUUUGCCAAUCGACAGGAACCUAAUUUCGUGACAUGCAGCCACUGCACUUGAAACAUCAGUUGGACAUUAAGUGUUGCUAAGCUACCGUAUUGACUUAAUAGGCCAGAUUGGCAGGUCUUGGCUGUCGGUGGUAAGUCCUCUAUUUUAUGUGUACGAAUUCGACGUCUUCUUCCCCUCUCGCGGACAGCUUCCACUUAGGGUGCAUUCCAGUGCGGAUUAAGGCCAGGGAUUAACCCUCUGUCCUCCAUCGAUACUUGCUCAAACGGCUAAGUUGUUGGCAAACUUACCUCGCCUUUUCAACCUUUGGUUCCCUUAUGGAACAAAACUAUGUGGUAAGCUCGUACCAAGGAAUUCCGUGCCCUAAUCCCUGGCCUUAAUCCGCACUGGAAAUGCACCCUUAGCGAGAAACCUUGCGCCA
RNAcentral lists this long non-coding RNA (2562 nucleotides) under Volvox carteri. RNAcentral describes it as "long non-coding RNA (VCAR_LNC002168)". The record is from RNAcentral. Lineage: Eukaryota; Viridiplantae; Chlorophyta; Chlorophyceae; Chlamydomonadales; Volvocaceae.